UCUUGGUCAUUUAGAGGAAGUAAAAGUCGUAACAAGGUUUCCGUAGGUGAACCUGCGGAAGGAUCAUUAAAGAAAUUUAAUAAUUUUGAAAAUGGAUUUUUUUGUUUUGGCAAGAGCAUGAGAGCUUUUACUGGGCAAGAAGACAAGAGAUGGAGAGUCCAGCCGGGCCUGCGCUUAAGUGCGCGGUCUUGCUAGGCUUGUAAGUUUCUUUCUUGCUAUUCCAAACGGUGAGAGAUUUCUGUGCUUUUGUUAUAGGACAAUUAAAACCGUUUCAAUACAACACACUGUGGAGUUUUCAUAUCUUUGCAACUUUUUCUUUGGGCAUUCGAGCAAUCGGGGCCCAGAGGUAACAAACACAAACAAUUUUAUCUAUUCAUUAAAUUUUUGUCAAAAACAAGAAUUUUCGUAACUGGAAAUUUUAAAAUAUUAAAAACUUUCAACAACGGAUCUCUUGGUUCUCGCAUCGAUGAAGAACGCAGCGAAAUGCGAUACGUAAUGUGAAUUGCAGAAUUCCGUGAAUCAUCGAAUCUUUGAACGCACAUUGCGCCCCUUGGUAUUCCAGGGGGCAUGCCUGUUUGAGCGUCAUUUCCUUCUCAAACAUUCUGUUUGGUAGUGAGUGAUACUCUUUGGAGUUAACUUGAAAUUGCUGACCUUUUCAUUGGAUGUUUUUUUUCCAAAGAGAGGUUUCUCUGCGUGCUUGAGGUAUAAUGCAAGUACGGUCGUUUUAGGUUUUACCAACUGCGGCUAAUCUUUUUUUAUACUGAGCGUAUUGGAACGUUAUCGAUAAGAAGAGAGCGUCUAGGCGAACAAUGUUCUUAAAGUUUGACCUCAAAUCAGGUAGGAGUACCCGCUGAACUUAAGCAUAUCAAUAAGCGGAG
RNAcentral lists this ribosomal RNA (878 nucleotides) under uncultured fungus. Its description in RNAcentral is "eukaryotic LSU rRNA". The stretch from base 432 to 585 matches the Rfam family "5.8S ribosomal RNA". Lineage: Eukaryota; Fungi. The record is from RNAcentral.